AUGGUGGUGGUGGUGGCCAUGAUUAUGUGGUUGUCUAGGUGAUAGUGGUGGUGCUGAUAAUUGUAGUAGUAAAUGAUGAUGGAUGUUAACAAUAGUGGUGGUGUGUUGAGGCCUCUUUAGGAGUAGGAAAAUAAUAAAAAGAAAAAAGAAAUAAAAAGUUGAAAUUUUUUCUCAAAAAUGGUAAGGUAUUUGAUUACUUGAGAAUAGUGGCCAAUGGCAUUA
RNAcentral lists this long non-coding RNA (222 nucleotides) under Phoenix dactylifera (date palm). RNAcentral describes it as "long non-coding RNA (PDAC_LNC003209)". Lineage: Eukaryota; Viridiplantae; Streptophyta; Magnoliopsida; Arecales; Arecaceae. The record is from RNAcentral.